AUUGAACGCUGGCGGCAUGCUUUACACAUGCAAGUCGAACGGCAGCGCGGGCUUCGGCCUGGCGGCGAGUGGCGAACGGGGGAGUAAUGCAUCGGAACGUGCCCAGUAGUGGGGGAUAGCCCGGCGAAAGCCGGAUUAAUACCGCAUACGACCUGAGGGUGAAAGCGGGGGACCGAAAGGCCUCGCGCUAUUGGAGCGGCCGAUGUCGGAUUAGCUAGUUGGUGGGGUAAAGGCUUACCAAGGCGACGAUCCGUAGCUGGUCUGAGAGGACGACCAGCCACACUGGGACUGGGACACGGCCCAGACUCCUACGGGAGGCCGCAGUGGGGAAUUUUGGACAAUGGGGGCAAACCUGGUCCAGCCAUGCCGCGUGCGGGAAGAAGGCCUUCGGGUUGUAAACCGCUUUUGUUCGGGAAGAAAUCCUUUGGGCUAAUACCCCGGGGGGAUGACGGUACCGGAAGAAUAAGCACCGGCUAACUACGUG
RNAcentral lists this ribosomal RNA (484 nucleotides) under uncultured bacterium. RNAcentral's name for it is "partial 16S ribosomal RNA". It matches the Rfam family "Bacterial small subunit ribosomal RNA", at positions 28 to 507 of the family's 1533-position model. The record is from RNAcentral.